UGCAGUCGACGGAAAGGCCCCUUCGGGGGUACUCGAGUGGCGAACGGGUGAGUAACACGUGGGUGAUCUGCCCUGCACUUUGGGAUAAGCCUGGGAAACUGGGUCUAAUACCGAAUAGGACCGCAUGCUUCAUGGUGUGUGGUGGAAAGCUUUUGCGGUGUGGGAUGGGCCCGCGGCCUAUCAGCUUGUUGGUGGGGUAAUGGCCUACCAAGGCGACGACGGGUAGCCGGCCUGAGAGGGUGUCCGGCCACACUGGGACUGAGAUACGGCCCAGACUCCUACGGGAGGCAGCAGUGGGGAAUAUUGCACAAUGGGCGCAAGCCUGAUGCAGCGACGCCGCGUGGGGGAUGACGGCCUUCGGGUUGUAAACCUCUUUCAGUAUCGGCGAAGCUCCAAGGUUUUCUUUGGGGUGACGGUAGGUACAGAAGAAGCACCGGCCAACUACGUGCCAGCAGCCGCGGUAAUACGUAGGGUGCGAGCGUUGUCCGGAAUUACUGGGCGUAAAGAGCUCGUAGGUGGUUUGUCACGUUGUCCGUGAAAACUCACAGCUUAACUGUGGGCGUGCGGGCGAUACGGGCAGACUAGAGUACUGUAGGGGAGACUGGAAUUCCUGGUGUAGCGGUGGAAUGCGCAGAUAUCAGGAGGAACACCGGUGGCGAAGGCGGGUCUCUGGGCAGUAACUGACGCUGAGGAGCGAAAGCGUGGGGAGCGAACAGGAUUAGAUACCCUGGUAGUCCACGCCGUAAACGGUGGGUACUAGGUGUGGGUUUCCUUCCUUUAGGGAUCCGUGCCGUAGCUAACGCAUUAAGUACCCCGCCUGGGGAGUACGGCCGCAAGGCUAAAACUCAAUGGAAUUUGACGG
RNAcentral lists this ribosomal RNA (862 nucleotides) under Mycobacterium minnesotense. Its description in RNAcentral is "Mycolicibacter minnesotensis 16S ribosomal RNA". It matches the Rfam family "Bacterial small subunit ribosomal RNA", at positions 56 to 916 of the family's 1533-position model. Lineage: Bacteria; Bacillati; Actinomycetota; Actinomycetes; Mycobacteriales; Mycobacteriaceae. The record is from RNAcentral.